CUGAUGGACAGACUAUACUCACCAAUGAUGCCCGUCCUGACGAAGCACGGGCCUCUCUCCCGGUGGGCGGGUCUGAGGCCUUCGGGAGACCCAGAAGCCCGAGCUCCUGGGACGGUGCCGCGCGCCGGGCGUCAGUGUAGGACAGAUGCACAUAGGCCAAGGACAAAAGCACGUCUACUGGCAACCGCAGCACUGCAGAGAAGUGCGGCUAAAACAGCGCUGGGGGGGCUCUGCCCCUUCUGCUGGCGGCUCCGCGGCGGAGGGCGGAGGGCCGGUGGCUGCGGAGACGCCGUCCUUACCCCACGACCGGGAAGCAGAUGCUACACCGCGCGGCAGCGUUGGUGCUGGUGAGGAGGACCGCGUGCAUGCUGUUUUCUUUGCCCUCUUAAUUUUCUCAGUGAAACACAAAACACAGUAAGAAUAGCACCGAGGAGAAUUUUGGGGACACAGUGAACAUUCAUAAAUACAAAUGUUUUUGUUAAUCUAACAAAGGCCCGCGCUGUAUCACGUGCCACGAAGGAGCCGAGGUGCUGGACAGGGAGGUGCUGCCUGUUCUGUAGGCUGCUGCCCCUAAGCGAGCCGCCCUUGGGAGCUCUGUCCUGGCUCUGCUUCAGCACUGCUUGACCUCCCGUCUUCUCCGCAGGAUGGGCCCUGGAGCCUGCAGUGUCCCAAGUGGAGUGCUGCCUGCAUGUCACACGUGUAAGGGUCAAACCUCUGUUCUUCUGCUUUGUUCCCGUUAAAAGCAUUCAUCAUGUUAGGUGACUGCUACUCUGGGCCUGGCCCCGUGCCACCUGCAGAAGGAGGCAAAAGGUCAAAUCCAGAAUGUGGAAUUUUCUCUUGCACACAUGAGUCAGUUAUUAGUUAGGGGCUUGAAGGGAAAAUAAAAAGUAGGACGGAUAAUAAAAGCAUAAAAACAUAAUGGAGUGGAAUGCGUAGACUUUAUUUGCAUCACGAUAGAACAAACCAACUGUAAAAAAAAAAAAAAAAAAAAAAAACACGUCUGUGUGGUUCCUGUCAAUACAAACCCAACUAGUAUGCAUGAGAACUCAGGUUCCAUCCCUGGCCCAGCAGAGUGGUUUAAGGAUCCAGCAUUGCCGUGAGCUGUGGUGUUGGUUGAAGAUGUGACUCAGAUCUGCUGUGGCUGUGGCGUAGACCAGCUCUUUCAACCCCUAGCGCCGGAAUGUCUAUAUGUCACAGGUGCAACCCUUAAAAAAAAAAAAAAAAAAAGUUGUGAGACGGGGAAAUUUGAACAUAAACGGUGUUGGCUGUUAGCUAGGGUUACCACUACUUUUGUUAGGGAGAGAUGGCCUAAAUGGUUAGGUUAAAAAAGGCCCCCAUCGUUUAUAUAGAAGUAUUUACUGUAAGUUGUCACAGUGUCUGUCAUUUAUUUGCUUUGUAAUAUGCUGAUUACUCAGGUUAAAAAAAAA
This is a non-coding RNA of Sus scrofa (pig), 1427 nucleotides long. Lineage: Eukaryota; Metazoa; Chordata; Mammalia; Artiodactyla; Suidae. The record is from RefSeq and is a predicted model, not a curated record.